RNAcentral lists this long non-coding RNA (274 nucleotides) under Mytilus galloprovincialis (Mediterranean mussel). Lineage: Eukaryota; Metazoa; Mollusca; Bivalvia; Mytilida; Mytilidae. The record is from RNAcentral.
CCCCCUCUCCCCUGUAUUAUUGUGCUAUGGUACAGUUUUGUAUGCUUGUCUUUAAUUUUUGCUAAUGUGCUUUGUCUAUAUGCCUAUUUUGUGCUUCUUUGUUACAUAUUUUCUUUCUUUUUAUAGUGAUUAAGACAAUUAUACAAUGUUGACUGCUGUACCAAUAUUUUUGACAUCUUUACCCGUUUGUGUCUGUUUGUUUUGUUCACACAUCGUUGUCAGUGUAAUUGAAUUUGAUGCGACUGGCAUACAAGUGAGAAGUGUAGCUAUAGCC